GACGAACGCUGGCGGCGUGCUUAAUACAUGCAAGUCGAGCGAGGCCCAUCCAGUGGCAACACUGGGGAAGGCCGAGCGGCGAACGGGUGAGUAACACGUGAGCAACCUGCCCCGAGGUCUGGAAUAACAUCGGGAAACCGGUGCUAAUACCGGAUUGCCCCACCUGACCGCAUGAUCGGGUGAGGAAAGAUCUAUCGCUUCGGGAGGGGCUCGCGGCCUAUCAGCUAGUGGCGGGGUAACGGCCCACCAAGGCGUCGACGGGUAGCUGGUCUGAGAGGACGACCAGCCACACUGGGACUGAGACACGGCCCAGACUCCUACGGGAGCAGCAGUAGGGAAUCUUGCGCAAUGGGCGAAAGCCUGACGCAGCAACGCCGCGUGGGGAUGAC
Molecule: ribosomal RNA, 389 nt
Filed under: uncultured bacterium
Lineage: Bacteria
Description: bacterial SSU rRNA
Rfam family: Bacterial small subunit ribosomal RNA
Source: RNAcentral